This 638-nucleotide long non-coding RNA is filed under the name Homo sapiens (human). RNAcentral describes it as "HSALNT0330936". Lineage: Eukaryota; Metazoa; Chordata; Mammalia; Primates; Hominidae. The record is from RNAcentral.
GGUCUCCAUAGGGAAUGGAAGUGCUGCUGGCCACUGAACAGUCCCAAGCCCACAAAUGCUCACCACAAACGUUACUAUUUAAAUCCAGAAGAGAAGGCAGGUGCUUCUUGAUAAAACCAGGGCAGAGUUACAUGGUGUGGAGGAAAAGGGUGGGCUUGAGUUUCUGGCAAGCUCCAUAUGUAAGGGUUAAAAUCACCUGAGGUGAGGGACUCUAAGAGGCGCAGUGCUCAAACCUCCACUUGUACUGACUGUGUGACCUUGAGCAAGUGAUUUCAGCUCUCUGAGCUUCCGAGCUCUGAAGGCCCAGUUAGAUGAUACACCUAGAACACGCCUGGAACGAGAGCGGGUACAUGGCAAACACUAAGGAAGAUCUAGCUACGGUGAUUGCAGUGUCUUCUGUUUAGAGAAGAGGACUGGCUUCUCCUGCACCUGAGGCCUGGAGGGUAAAGCAGAGGAGCAGAAGCAAUAAACAUGGCUUUCUCGUGAGCUCUUCCCUCUGCCUGGAACACCAUUCCCACCACCCACCACCAUGGUCCGUCUCCCCUUACUGGCUUAAGAGAGUCGCUUCCCUGAAGAGGCCUCCCCAGUUCCCUGGCCCAGAUGUGGAAGCCAUUUUGCACCAUGAGCGGAGACACUCC